GCCAGCAUGGUGGUGUGCACUAUACUCUCCACUACCGGGGAGGCCGAGGAUGGUAGAUGGCCUGAGUUCAGGUGCUUUGAAUUGCAGUAGGGCUGAGCUGAUCAGAUGUCCUCACUAAGUUUGGCAUCGACAUGGGGAGCCCCUGGGAGGGAUGGGUCAUCAGGCAGCCUAAAGAUGGGCUACCCAGGCCAGGAAUAGAGCAGGUCAAAGCCCGUGUGCCAACCAGUAAUGGGACUGGAACCAUGAUUGGCCACUGAAUUUCUAACCUGGUCAAAAUAGGGAAACCCAUUAUCAA
RNAcentral lists this signal recognition particle RNA (295 nucleotides) under Vombatus ursinus (common wombat). RNAcentral describes it as "Metazoan signal recognition particle RNA (ENSVURG00010007659.1)". It matches the Rfam family "Metazoan signal recognition particle RNA". Rfam says of the family: The signal recognition particle (SRP) is a universally conserved ribonucleoprotein. It is involved in the co-translational targeting of proteins to membranes. Lineage: Eukaryota; Metazoa; Chordata; Mammalia; Diprotodontia; Vombatidae. The record is from Rfam by way of RNAcentral.